AUCAAUCACUUUGUCUCUGCACAAUGAACAUUAUCAAAUAUUAUUAAUGUUGUAAAAUAUAUUGUUCAUUGUUAGUUCAUAUUAGCUAAGGCAUUACCAAAUGUUAAGGAAUAAACUCUUAUAGUAAAGUGUUACUAAAUUUUCUUUUACCAUUUCCUUCACAAUGUCUACUUAUUUCUAUGGCUAACAGAUUUUGUAACAUUUGUCUUUUUUACAGUCUUACCAUUGCUUGUAAGCUGGAUUGGGUAAGAUGGAUCAUCUUUAAAGGCACCAGGAGUUAAGGCAGAUGUGGAGGCACAACGUGUGAUACCAGACACACACCAAGCACAUUAUGUUCGGACAUUCAAUCAUGACAUGAUCCAGGUGGAUGCUGUCCAUUGAGGAAAGAGUUUGUUCAGAGGUUUCUGGACAGAAUUAAUUCCAAAGAUGGGAAAAAGUGCACAUCCAGACAAGGAGCAAGCAAAAAGACAAGGAACUUGGUGCAGAGAAAAGCUGUGGCCAUUAACCCCCAUGUGAACAGCUUCAUGCAGUCCCUGAUUGAGUUCGAAUGGACGACUUCAAAGUAAAGGCCACUGUGGUCUGUCUGCCACAGUUUAAUGCAUUUAUUUUUAGUGUUAAAUGAAAUUUAAGUAGAAUAUUUAAAACUAUAGGCCAUUGUUCUUUUUACCACAGUGAAAUGUUACCUUUUAGUCGAUGAUGGACUUUAAACUGAAAACUUCAAACUAUGGACCAGUGUUCUAUUUGCCAGAGUUAAAUAUGUUACAGCAGGGGUCUCCAAACUUGUUUAUACUUGUUGAUUUUAUUUUAUGUUACUUGAUUAUAUGUUUAUUAUUGUUUAAAAUCUUGUUUUAAAUAUGUUUGUUUCAAUUAAAUGUUUUUUUAAAUAAAAUUUUGAUACAUACAUUGCUUGGAUUGCCUUUUAAUUCAUUAUGUUUUAAUUUAGCAUUUUUACCAUAUUAAUAACUAUAGAUUUAAACCUAAAUCUCUAGCUAUUUUAUAUAAUAUUAUUGU
Paramisgurnus dabryanus is the source of this 1011-nucleotide non-coding RNA. NCBI's taxonomy places the organism in Eukaryota, Metazoa, Chordata, Actinopteri, Cypriniformes, Cobitidae. The record is from RefSeq and is a predicted model, not a curated record.